RNAcentral lists this ribosomal RNA (510 nucleotides) under uncultured Desulfobulbus sp. RNAcentral describes it as "bacterial SSU rRNA". It matches the Rfam family "Bacterial small subunit ribosomal RNA", at positions 903 to 1382 of the family's 1533-position model. The record is from RNAcentral. Lineage: Bacteria; Pseudomonadati; Thermodesulfobacteriota; Desulfobulbia; Desulfobulbales; Desulfobulbaceae.
CGCCUUGCCAGCCCGCUCAGAACUUAAAGGAAUUGACGGGGCCCGCACAAGCGGUGGAGUAUGUGGUUUAAUUCGAUGCAACGCGAAGAACCUUACCUGGUCUUGACAUCCCGGAGACCCUUAGGAAACUAGGGGGUGCUUCCAUCUGGAAGAAUCUGGAGACAGGUGCUGCAUGGCUGUCGUCAGCUCGUGUCGUGAGAUGUUGGGUUAAGUCCCGCAACGAGCGCAACCCUUGCCCUUUAGUUGCCAGCAGUUCGGCUGGGCACUCUAAAGGGACUGCCGGUGUUAAACCGGAGGAAGGUGGGGAUGACGUCAAGUCCUCAUGGCCUUUAUGACCAGGGCUACACACGUACUACAAUGGCCGAUACAAAGGGCAGCGACACUGCGAGGUGAAGCCAAUCCCGUAAAAUCGGUCUCAGUCCGGAUUGGAGUCUGCAACUCGACUCCAUGAAGUUGGAAUCGCUAGUAAUCGUGGAUCAGCAUGCCACGGUGAAUACGUUCCCGGGCCUU